This 271-nucleotide ribosomal RNA is filed under the name uncultured bacterium. Its description in RNAcentral is "partial 16S ribosomal RNA". It matches the Rfam family "Bacterial small subunit ribosomal RNA", at positions 87 to 354 of the family's 1533-position model. The record is from RNAcentral.
CCCGGCGACCGGCGCACGGGUGAGUAACACGUAUGCAACCUGGCCGUGACAGAUGGAUAACCGGGAGAAAUCCCGCCUAAUACAACAUAAUGCCGGGAGGGGACAUCCCCUGCCGGUCAAAGGGGGCGACCCCGGUCAUGGAUGGGCAUGCGGCGCAUUAGGUAGUUGGUGGGGCAACGGCCCACCAAGCCGACGAUGCGUAGGGGUUCUGAGAGGAAGGUCCCCCACAUUGGAACUGAGACACGGUCCAAACUCCUACGGAAGGCAGCAG